RNAcentral lists this unclassified non-coding RNA (204 nucleotides) under Hevea brasiliensis (rubber tree). The record is from RNAcentral. Lineage: Eukaryota; Viridiplantae; Streptophyta; Magnoliopsida; Malpighiales; Euphorbiaceae.
UUUUGCUCCUCCUCUCAGUCGUACUCUCCUUCUCUCGACUAGCUUCAAUGGCGGACUCUGUGAUAUCAGUUGACAAGGUCAAAGCUUUCUGGCACUCUCAGGUUCAUGACGAAGAGAAAUGGAAUCUCAACAAGAAACUGCUUCGAGCUACUGCUCUAUUUGCUGGGUCCAUCAUUUUGAUGCGCCAGUAUGGGGAUCUCAUGG